UGAGUAACACGUAUCCAACCUGCCGUCUACUCUUGGACAGCCUUCUGAAAGGAAGAUUAAUACAAGAUGGCAUCAUGAGUUCACAUGUUCACAUGAUUAAAGGUAUUCCGGUAGACGAUGGGGAUGCGUUCCAUUAGAUAGUAGGCGGGGUAGCGGCCCACCUAGUCUUCGAUGGAUAGGGGUUCUGAGAGGAAGGUCCCCCACAUUGGAACUGAGACACGGUCCAA
This 227-nucleotide ribosomal RNA is filed under the name uncultured bacterium. RNAcentral's name for it is "partial 16S ribosomal RNA". It matches the Rfam family "Bacterial small subunit ribosomal RNA", at positions 107 to 334 of the family's 1533-position model. The record is from RNAcentral.